Molecule: long non-coding RNA, 1470 nt
Filed under: Meleagris gallopavo (turkey)
Lineage: Eukaryota; Metazoa; Chordata; Aves; Galliformes; Phasianidae
Description: lncRNA (ENSMGAG00000020666.1)
Source: RNAcentral
AAUGUAGAUAGAGCUGUGUGGGGGACUGAGGUGAGAGAAAAUGAUGGAGAGCAGUGGUUCCCAGUUUAUGGCAUUGCAUGUGCCCUCUGUAAAGCCAAAAGGGAUGCAGCCAUGAGCUCAGAGCUCUGCUCUGUGAAAUUCAGCAGAACUUCCCAAAGUCAGAGGGGAAGGCUCAGUGGCACAGGGGCAUUAGCAGCUCCCCACACCCUCCUGCUUUGGAACGGGGGUAGUAGGUGCUUCCUGGCAAGUUCCAAAAAAGUUGUAGUGAUAGGAUUAUAUAAAGGCUUGGUCAGAAGGGCCAUGUGGCCAGACAAGUUAAUGUCACGGGAACACAAUGCUUUCAUGGCUCUUCAUGGCAAAAAAGACACAGUUAAGUGCACAAUGAAUCUUGUAGGCUUUGCAAAAGCUCCAUAAACACUUCCAAGUGCUGAUGAGGUGGGAACAUGGAGCUCUGUGCCCUACCAGUAGCUGCAGGUUCCUUUCCACUUCACUCUUUAAUCAAUUACACAUUUGCUACCAUUUAAUUGCUCUGUUGCACAGUUGGCUGCUGUAACAUGGACCUCUAAUCCACACUAUUGCCUUCCUAAUACAGAAGCCAUGAUUCCACAACAGGAGGAGGACAGAUGGCUUUAGAAGCCCACUCUGAAGAGCACCCAGUGCAGUGUCAGAAGAUCCCUCCAAAAAGAAACCCCUCGGGAAACUCUUAUGCUUGCAAGCUGCCAUCAGAAUUGGAAACAGCCUAGUCCUGCCUUGUACUGAACACCCAUCUAAUGGAGCAUCAACUGGAAAGCAGCCAAGCAAUUACCGAGCCCAAGAAAAAAGAAAGCAUCAAAUUCGUUACCCAGACGACUUACAAACCAAACCUGAAAGGGUUUAUAAAACCCCAUGCAAACAGACAUAGCAUUGCUACAGCAAAGCACUCAGCUCUUAGGAGGGGAUUGGAACCCCAGCAGUGUGGGGCAGCCAUGCAGCCGCCUGCCCAUGGGCACCAUGGCUGUACCAAACCCCACUGCCUGCCCAUGCCAGCCAGCCAGUCCCAGCUCACCAAGAGAUACCUGGCUGCAGUAAAUCAGAAGCAGGGGACAUUCCCCCAGAGGUCAUUUUUCUGCUGAUCAGAACCCUGAUGAUGACUGGCUACGUUGCAUGAAUGGAUUUUGCUCAUGCAGGGCACCUGCAGUUGGCUUAUGGCCUUGCUGGAUGUUUGCAGAGCUUUUCUCAAGUGCAUCUGCUAUUCAAGCUGACCCUACACAUUCCAUUGGUAUCUUGUUUUUUGGCUAUUUUCCCCCUUCUCUGGACUCAUGACAAGGAGUUCACUAACAAUGGGCUAUGGCACAGCCUAGAGCUGGAUCUGACCGUGUCAAAUGACAAGAUAUUUUUGUUAUAACCUGUAUAAAUAGGGGAAAGCCAUGACUUUGAAGUAAAAAAGGUUUUUUUCUCUUGAGAACAUGAAAUCUUCCAGAUCAGACAGGC